RNAcentral lists this ribosomal RNA (2252 nucleotides) under Salmonella enterica. Its description in RNAcentral is "partial 23S ribosomal RNA". It matches the Rfam family "Bacterial large subunit ribosomal RNA", at positions 711 to 2854 of the family's 2925-position model. Lineage: Bacteria; Pseudomonadati; Pseudomonadota; Gammaproteobacteria; Enterobacterales; Enterobacteriaceae. The record is from RNAcentral. RNAcentral also lists the same sequence under 1 other name.
AGACCCGAAACCCGGUGAUCUAGCCAUGGGCAGGUUGAAGGUUGGGUAACACUAACUGGAGGACCGAACCGACUAAUGUUGAAAAAUUAGCGGAUGACCUGUGGCUGGGGGUGAAAGGCCAAUCAAACCGGGAGAUAGCUGGUUCUCCCCGAAAGCUAUUUAGGUAGCGCCUCGUGAAUUCAUCUCCGGGGGUAGAGCACUGUUUCGGCUAGGGGGCCAUCCCGGCUUACCAACCCGAUGCAAACUGCGAAUACCGGAGAAUGUUAUCACGGGAGACACACGGCGGGUGCUAACGUCCGUCGUGAAGAGGGAAACAACCCAGACCGCCAGCUAAGGUCCCAAAGUCAUGGUUAAGUGGGAAACGAUGUGGGAAGGCCCAGACAGCCAGGAUGUUGGCUUAGAAGCAGCCAUCAUUUAAAGAAAGCGUAAUAGCUCACUGGUCGAGUCGGCCUGCGCGGAAGAUGUAACGGGGCUAAACCAUGCACCGAAGCUGCGGCAGCGAACGUAUCACCCAAGACAACUUUACGGAGUUGACGAUUGACGGAGCGAAGCGACGUCAAAGCGUUCAUUAAAGUCGAGUUGGCUUAGGGAUACGUUCGUUGGGUAGGGGAGCGUUCUGUAAGCCUGUGAAGGUGUGUCGUGAGGCAUGCUGGAGGUAUCAGAAGUGCGAAUGCUGACAUAAGUAACGAUAAAGCGGGUGAAAAGCCCGCUCGCCGGAAGACCAAGGGUUCCUGUCCAACGUUAAUCGGGGCAGGGUGAGUCGACCCCUAAGGCGAGGCCGAAAGGCGUAGUCGAUGGGAAACGGGUUAAUAUUCCCGUACUUGGUGUUACUGCGAAGGGGGGACGGAGAAGGCUAUGUUGGCCGGGCGACGGUUGUCCCGGUUUAAGCGUGUAGGUGUGUGUUCCAGGUAAAUCCGGUUCACUUUAACACUGAGGCGUGACGACGAGGCACUACGGUGCUGAAGCAACAAAUGCCCUGCUUCCAGGAAAAGCCUCUAAGCAUCAGGUAACAUCAAAUCGUACCCCAAACCGACACAGGUGGUCAGGUAGAGAAUACCAAGGCGCUUGAGAGAACUCGGGUGAAGGAACUAGGCAAAAUGGUGCCGUAACUUCGGGAGAAGGCACGCUGACACGUAGGUGAAGUGAUUUACUCAUGGAGCUGAAGUCAGUCGAAGAUACCAGCUGGCUGCAACUGUUUAUUAAAAACACAGCACUGUGCAAACACGAAAGUGGACGUAUACGGUGUGACGCCUGCCCGGUGCCGGAAGGUUAAUUGAUGGGGUCAGCGCAAGCGAAGCUCCUGAUCGAAGCCCCGGUAAACGGCGGCCGUAACUAUAACGGUCCUAAGGUAGCGAAAUUCCUUGUCGGGUAAGUUCCGACCUGCACGAAUGGCGUAAUGAUGGCCAGGCUGUCUCCACCCGAGACUCAGUGAAAUUGAACUCGCUGUGAAGAUGCAGUGUACCCGCGGCAAGACGGAAAGACCCCGUGAACCUUUACUAUAGCUUGACACUGAACAUUGAGCCUUGAUGUGUAGGAUAGGUGGGAGGCUUUGAAGUGUGGACGCCAGUCUGCAUGGAGCCGACCUUGAAAUACCACCCUUUAAUGUUUGAUGUUCUAACGUGGACCCGUAAUCCGGGUUGCGGACAGUGUCUGGUGGGUAGUUUGACUGGGGCGGUCUCCUCCUAAAGAGUAACGGAGGAGCACGAAGGUUGGCUAAUCCUGGUCGGACAUCAGGAGGUUAGUGCAAUGGCAUAAGCCAGCUUGACUGCGAGCGUGACGGCGCGAGCAGGUGCGAAAGCAGGUCAUAGUGAUCCGGUGGUUCUGAAUGGAAGGGCCAUCGCUCAACGGAUAAAAGGUACUCCGGGGAUAACAGGCUGAUACCGCCCAAGAGUUCAUAUCGACGGCGGUGUUUGGCACCUCGAUGUCGGCUCAUCACAUCCUGGGGCUGAAGUAGGUCCCAAGGGUAUGGCUGUUCGCCAUUUAAAGUGGUACGCGAGCUGGGUUUAGAACGUCGUGAGACAGUUCGGUCCCUAUCUGCCGUGGGCGCUGGAGAACUGAGGGGGGCUGCUCCUAGUACGAGAGGACCGGAGUGGACGCAUCACUGGUGUUCGGGUUGUCAUGCCAAUGGCACUGCCCGGUAGCUAAAUGCGGAAGAGAUAAGUGCUGAAAGCAUCUAAGCACGAAACUUGCCCCGAGAUGAGUUCUCCCUGAGACUUAGAGUCUCCUGAAGGAACGUUGAAGACGACGACGUU